UACGUAGGGUGCAAGCGUUAAUCGGAAUUACUGGGCGUAAAGCGUGCGCAGGCGGUUGUGCAAGACAGGGGUGAAAUCCCCGGGCUUAACCUGGGAACUGCGUUUGAAACUACAAGGCUAGAGUGUGGCAGAGGGGGGUGGAAUUCCACGUGUAGCAGUGAAAUGCGUAGAGAUGUGGAGGAACACCGAUGGCGAAGGCAGCCCCCUGGGUUAACACUGACGCUCAGGCACGAAAGCGUGGGGAGCAAACAGG
RNAcentral lists this ribosomal RNA (253 nucleotides) under uncultured bacterium. RNAcentral describes it as "partial 16S ribosomal RNA". It matches the Rfam family "Bacterial small subunit ribosomal RNA", at positions 524 to 776 of the family's 1533-position model. The record is from RNAcentral.